UACAGAGAGUGCGAACGUUGUUCGGAAUUACUGGGCUUAAAGCGCACGUAGGCGGCAUCGUAAGUGUCAGGUGAAAUCCCACGGCUCACCCGUGGAACUGCCCGGCAGACUGCGAUGCUCGAGUGUGGUAGGGGAGAACGGAACUCCUGGUGGAGCGGUGAAAUGCGUAGAUAUCAGGAGGAACACCGGUGGCGAAGGCGGUUCUCUGGUCCACAACUGACGCUGAGGUGCGAAAGCUAGGGGAGCAAACGGG
This 253-nucleotide ribosomal RNA is filed under the name uncultured bacterium. RNAcentral's name for it is "partial 16S ribosomal RNA". It matches the Rfam family "Bacterial small subunit ribosomal RNA", at positions 524 to 776 of the family's 1533-position model. The record is from RNAcentral.